CUUUCUUGAUUCGGUGGGUGGUGGUGCAUGGCCGUUCUUAGUUGGUGGAGCGAUUUGUCUGGUUAAUUCCGAUAACGAACGAGACUCUAGCCUGCUAACUAGGCGAUUUCCGGUACCCACAACAGUGUUACCGGCGAUUCAAUUUCUUCUUAGAGGGACAGGCGGCUCCUAGCCGCACGAGACUGAGCAAUAACAGGUCUGUGAUGCCCUUAGAUGUCCUGGGCCGCACGCGCGCUACACUGAAGGAAUCAGCGUGUCAUCCCUGGCCGACAGGCCCGGGUAUCACGUUGAACCUCCUUCGUGCUAGGGAUUGGGGCUUGCAAUUGUUCUCCAUGAACGAGGAAUUUCCCGGUAAGCGCGAGUCAUAAGCUCGCGUAGAUUACGUCCCUGCCCUUCGUACACACCGCCCGUCGCUACUACCGAUUGAAUGAUUUAGUGAGGUCUUCGGACUGGUGCGCGCGAUUCGUUCCACCGGCCGCCGAUGUUGCCGGAAAGAUGACC
Molecule: ribosomal RNA, 501 nt
Filed under: Cosmoscarta sp.
Lineage: Eukaryota; Metazoa; Arthropoda; Insecta; Hemiptera; Cercopidae
Description: SSU rRNA
Rfam family: Eukaryotic small subunit ribosomal RNA
Source: RNAcentral